This 336-nucleotide ribosomal RNA is filed under the name Triticum aestivum (bread wheat). RNAcentral's name for it is "partial small subunit ribosomal RNA". The record is from RNAcentral. Lineage: Eukaryota; Viridiplantae; Streptophyta; Magnoliopsida; Poales; Poaceae.
AUGAGCUGUUUUCAGCUUCCGGUGGCCACGUGUGAGAAGUUCCGUCAGAUUAUCUCAGACCAUUGGUGGGGCAGGGAAGAUGGGAAGAAGAAGCUGCACUGGCGGUCCUGGAAGUGGCUCACUACGCCAAAAUCUCUCAGGGGAAUGGGCUUUCGUGAUAUGACACUUUUUAAUCAAGCUAUGCUUGGGAAGCAAGGAUGGCGCUUACUUACAGAACCAGAUUCAUUAUGUGCUCGGGUUCUCAAAGGAAGAUAUUUCCCUCAUGGAGACUUUUGGAAUGCUACAGCUCCUCGGUCCGCAUCAGUUACAUGGCGAAGCAUCCUUUAUGGUCGGGAA